UACGUAGGGUGCAAGCGUUGUCCGGAAUUAUUGGGCGUAAAGAGCUCGUAGGCGGUUUGUUGCGUCGGCUGUGAAAUCCCGAGGCUCAACCUCGGGUCUGCAGUCGAUACGGGCAAACUAGAGUGUUGCAGGGGAGACUGGAAUUCCUGGUGUAGCGGUGAAAUGCGCAGAUAUCAGGAGGAACACCGGUGGCGAAGGCGGUUCUCUGGGCAUUACCUGACGCUGAGGAGCGAAAGUGUGGGGAGCGAACAGG
This 253-nucleotide ribosomal RNA is filed under the name uncultured bacterium. RNAcentral's name for it is "partial 16S ribosomal RNA". It matches the Rfam family "Bacterial small subunit ribosomal RNA", at positions 524 to 776 of the family's 1533-position model. The record is from RNAcentral.